GUUGGUGUUCAUGUCUUUAUGGAACCACGCCCAUCCAUCUCGAACUGGGACGUGAAACGUAAAGAGGGUGACGAUACUGCGGGGGGGGCCCUGUGGGAAAUUAGCCUAAUGCCAACAA
RNAcentral lists this ribosomal RNA (118 nucleotides) under Pedinophyceae sp. YPF-701. The record is from RNAcentral. Lineage: Eukaryota; Viridiplantae; Chlorophyta; Pedinophyceae.